Molecule: non-coding RNA, 177 nt
Filed under: Deltaproteobacteria bacterium
Lineage: Bacteria; Pseudomonadati; Myxococcota; Myxococcia
Source: RNAcentral
UAAAACAUAACGCGUCCGGGUGCCCCUUGGGAUAAAAGGGAAGAGGGUGGAAAGCCCUCGCGGCCCCGCCACUGUGAUCGGUGACGAUCUCUCGAACAUGCCACUGUCCCGCCCGGGAUGGGAAGGCCGAGAGAUUAUGCCGUCAGCCAGGAAACCUGCCGGGACGCGCUUCACGUA